Molecule: long non-coding RNA, 3280 nt
Filed under: Rhinopithecus bieti (black snub-nosed monkey)
Lineage: Eukaryota; Metazoa; Chordata; Mammalia; Primates; Cercopithecidae
Description: lncRNA (ENSRBIG00000046783.1)
Source: RNAcentral
GUUUUCCAUUAUCACAGAGAACACCUCAGAACUCCUCUCCCCAGUCUCAGGUUUCCCCAGGAAUGUUUUAAUCAACCCUACCAGUCCUAUGAAACAUAUGUGAUUUACAGUUCAAAUAACUUUGGGAAGUAUUGCCGGCCACGUCUCACCCAUGAAGCCUCACAGCACAUAUGAUGAUUUUAAAGGCCCUGACAAGUGUGGUAGUACCGAAACCUGUGACAUGUUUCCUAAAUAUAUUUGAUCCCAUUAACUCUUAUUUGCUCUCAGAAUCUCUCUGGAUUAUUUAUUAUUCCUAGGAACAUACUGGAAAGAACACUAAACCAAGUCAUCAUGAACAAAUAUGAGAUUCUUGAUUUUUCCCCUUUUCCCUGAGAGCUGCAGAGAUUGCAUCAGAUGAAUGUUUGUUAGCACCUGGCCUGGAAGAAGCUCAGUGGCUGUUUCAGGAGUGAAUGAAUGGACAAGUGAACUGACAUCCAGUGGAAACACAAAAGAGCAGGAUCACAGGGCCCUGGACAAAGUUAGUGAACAUUAUCCUGGGGUAACCCAAUCUCCUAGGUCUGAUAGCAACAACAAGGGAAACAAUCCAAAGGAUUACCUUGAACUCUGGCCAGCACCAUGGGAGACUUGGACCUAGUGAAGGCCAGUGACCCAGAAGGGCCCCUUAAGCUCGGUAAUGGGCCUCCACUUGCUGGGAGGUAAAGGGUAAUUGAGAAAAAGAAAAUCAAAUGCUUUGGGAGACUUAGGAAAAAAGAUGGAGGCUCUGUUUUUCCCAACCUCGUAGCUUGGGGAGAGGCUGAGUGAGAUUACUGUCACCUUCUAGGGCACUGUCUAAACUGGAGUGUCUGUUAGUCAUUCUUGUUCCUUUUCCUUCCACUUGUGCUCUGGGCCCAUCCCCUCCCCCUGUCCCAUGGUUUUGCUUCUACUCCCUCCUCAUCCUCUCUCUCCACUGUCUCCAUUCCCUCAACAUACAAACACUCCAGGUCUUGGAAUGUUAAAGUCCCUUUUGUCCUUCCAGUUGCUACUCUACUUCUGUCCUUCCCUUCCUGGAUAAGCCACUGAAAAGUGGCUCUGGGCUCUACCCGCUUCCUCUCCUCCCACUGCCCACUGCCCCCUGGUCUCCUCCUCCCGCUCCACAGAAGCAGAGCCCUUCUGUGAUUUAUUUAUUUUUAUUUUUAUUUUUUUGAGAUGUAGUCUUGCUCUGUUGCCCAGGCUGGAGUGCAGUGGCACGAUCUCGGCUCCCUGCAAUCUCCACCUCCCGGGUUUAAGCAUUCUCCUGCCUUAGCCUCCCAAGGAGCUGGGACUAUAGGUAUGCACCAUCAUGCCCAUCUAAUUUUUGUAUUUUUAGUAGAGAUAGAGUUUCACUGUGUUGGCCAUGCUGGUCUCAAACUCCUGACCUUAGGUGAUCUGACCACCUCAGCCCCCCAAAGUGCUGGAAUUACAGGCAUGAACCACCACACCUGGCCCCCUCUGUGAUUUAAAUACCCAAAUAUAUCACAGACACCUGGGUGUUCCAUAGGAAACAAAAAACUUGAUGUUCAUCAAAAGCUGAUUGAACACCUCCUCUGCACCAGGCAUUGAACUAUAAAGUCAAUACAAUGAGGGUCAAGAAGCUUAUGACUUGAUGGUAAACAGCGAUGUAAACUAUUACCAGUCUGGUUGCUAAGGGAUACAAUUGAUAUAUGCCCAGAUGUUAUGGAACCCAGGGAAGAGCAUUGAACUGGGAGAGGAAGAGCAACUGGUCCUUCAGAGAAGGCUUACUGGAAGAAUGGAACUGGAACUGAGAUCUGAAGGAUGUGUAGAAAGUGAGAAGAAGAAAUUGGGAUUUUGGCUAUGGAAUGCUUUCAGUUUCAAAUGACAGAAACCUUACUCAGGCCAGAGGAAGCAAACCAGGGAACUGUAUAACUGGGGCGACUGGGUGAAGCUGGUCUCAGACACACAGGCAUUCAGGUUUGCUGCUCCCCUCAGACUUACCUCUGCUGCUUCUUCCUCUGUAUUGGACUCAUUCUCUCCUAAUCAGGUUAGCUUCCUCCAGGUUUCACAGGCAGGAGCGCCCUAGCCACAGGCAGUUCCAGGCUUAUAUUAACCCAGUUUUUUGGCUACAGAAAAAAAGAGAGAACUCUCCCAGCACCCAUAUGUAAAAUCCCAGGGAAGGGCUCUGAUUGGCCCAGCUUGGGUCAUGUGCCAAUCCCAGGUCAAUCACUGUGACCAGGGGAUGGGUACUGUGUCUGAACGGGCCUGGAUCUGCUACCCAGCACUGGGGGUAGGGGACAGGAUACUGUGGUUGGCAGUUCCAUUAGGACCACAUGGAAUGAGGGGGGAUGCUGAGAACACUAAAGCAACAGAUGUUCGUAACAGAGAGCUUUCUAGACAGAGAGAAUGACACAUGCAAAACCAUUCAACAGCCAGGGAACACGGCUGAGAAUUACUAGUAGUUUUAUGUUGCUGGAACUUAGGAUGAACUUGGGUGAGUGACAAGAAAUAAACCUGGAGAAGAAGAAUGAAUGUGGAGGGUCAUAUGUGCUAUACAAUAGAGUUUGAAUGUUAUCGUGAAAGCUAUAGAGAAUCUUUGAAAAAUGUUGUAUCAGAUAUUUAUAUGAUCAGGUUAUAUUAUUUGGGGAAAAAUCCUUUUGCCCAUAGAUCUAUUCUCUUGCUUUCUUCCUUAUUUCAGUUAAUGAUAUCCUCCAUCCCUGCAAUGUCAUGAACUAGAAACUAGGGGAAUCUUGGGGCCAUUUCCCUCUGCCAAGUCCUUUUUGGGGCACCUCUCAAGGAGCCAUUCCUUUCUAUUCUGACAUUGUCUGUGUCUGUUCAGGCCUCUGCCUGUUCUUGCCAGGACUGCUAUCAUGGGUCCCCCUAACUUGUACUAAGGUAUCUGCUCUUUCAGGGAAUUUCCUGUUCCCCAACCUAGCCUGGGUCAGACCCGGUUCUCUCUGCUUUGGUAGCUAAUAUGGUUGGAUGUUUGUCCCUUCCAAAUCCCAUGUUGAAAUGUAGUCUCCAGUGUUAGAGGUGGGGUCUGGUGGGAGGUGUUAGGGUCAUGGGGGUGGAGUCCUCAUGAAUGUCUUAGUACCCACCUCACAGUAAUGAGUCUCAUUCUAUUAGUUCACAAGAGAGCUGGUUGUUUAAAGAAACUGGCACCUCCUCCCUUCUGUCUCCUGUCCUCUGUCACCAUGUGAUGUGCCUGAUUUCCCUUCGCCUUCUGCCAUGAUUGUAGGCUCCCUGAGGCCUCACCAGAAGUAGAUGCUGGCGCCACACUUCCUGUACAGCCUGCAGAACCAUGAGCCAA